This 467-nucleotide ribosomal RNA is filed under the name uncultured bacterium. RNAcentral describes it as "partial 16S ribosomal RNA". It matches the Rfam family "Bacterial small subunit ribosomal RNA", at positions 28 to 507 of the family's 1533-position model. The record is from RNAcentral.
GACGAACGCUGGCGGCGUGCUUAACACAUGCAAGUCGAACGAUGACGACCGAGCUUGCUCGGUCUGAUUAGUGGCGAACGGGUGAGUAACACGUGAGCAACCUGCCCUUCACUCUGGGAUAACCUCGGGAAAUCGGGGCUAAUACCGGAUAUGAGCUCCUGUCGCAUGGCGGGUGUUGGAAAGUUUUUCGGUGAAGGAUGGGCUCGCGGGCUAUCAGGUUGUUGGUGAGGGAGGGGCUCACCAAGGCGAUGACGGGUAGCCGGCCUGAGAGGGCGACCGGCCACACUGGGACUGAGACACGGCCCAGACUCCUACGGGAGGCAGCAGUGGGGAAUAUUGCACAAUGGGCGAAAGCCUGAUGCAGCGACGCCGCGUGAGGGAUGACGGCCUUCGGGUUGUAAACCUCUUUCAGCAGGGAAGAAGCGAAAGUGACGGUACCUGCAGAAGAAGCGCCGGCUAACUACGUG